RNAcentral lists this ribosomal RNA (480 nucleotides) under uncultured Campylobacterota bacterium. RNAcentral's name for it is "bacterial SSU rRNA". It matches the Rfam family "Bacterial small subunit ribosomal RNA", at positions 1 to 504 of the family's 1533-position model. Lineage: Bacteria; Pseudomonadati; Campylobacterota. The record is from RNAcentral.
UGGAGAGUUUGAUCCUGGCUCAGAGUGAACGCUGGCGGCGUGCCUAACACAUGCAAGUCGAACGAUGAUAGAGAGCUUGCUCUCUUGAUUAGUGGCGCACGGGUGAGUAUACCAUAGAUAAUGUACCUCUUAGUUCGGGAUAGCCACUGGAAACGGUGAUUAAUACCGGAUACUCCUUCUUACUCUAAGGUAAGUCGGGAAAGUUUUUUCGCUAAGAGAUCAGUCUAUGUCCUAUCAGCUAGUUGGUGAGGUAAUGGCUCACCAAGGCUAUGACGGGUAUCUGGUUUGAGAGGAUGAUCAGACACACUGGAACUGAGACACGGUCCAGACUCCUACGGGAGGCAGCAGUGAGGAAUAUUGCACAAUGGAGGAAACUCUGAUGCAGCAACGCCGCGUGGAGGAUGACGCAUUUCGGUGUGUAAACUCCUUUUAAGAGGGAAGAUAAUGACGGUACCUCUUGAAUAAGCUCCGGCUAACUCC